CCCAUCCAACCAUGAUGUAAACUGGUUUGUCAUCUGAUUUCUUUGAGUCUGGUGGAUAUGGAUGUAACCAUACUACAAGGCAGGACAGUUUUCUGCAUCCAGCUUGAGGCUUGGUACCAGCAGGAAUAUGGAGCACUCUGUUAGUGAGUCUGCUGAGCUAUGGAACUCCAGAGCAGCACCCUGCCACCCUGUUUUCAGCUAUCUGCAGACAGUUCCCUGAGUAAGGAUGCAACUAUCAAGGCCUUCAAAUUAUGACAAAAUGCAAUAAAGUUAUGUAUAAACAUUUUUUUAUUUUUUUAUUGUUAUAUUGAAAACAAUAACUUUUUUUGCAUGUUUUUUAGCAUGUUUGUUCUAUGGUAACUUAAAACAUCAAGACAACACUUAUGAUUCAAAAGGUCUAAAGGAAAUGCAAGCCUCAUGUCCAGAAUGAAUACAGUUUUUAUUCAUGUAUCAGACAUCACACAGGUGUGUCAACUAAAAUAUAUAUCCCAG
This 492-nucleotide long non-coding RNA is filed under the name Salmo salar (Atlantic salmon). Its description in RNAcentral is "lncRNA (ENSSSAG00000115760.1)". Lineage: Eukaryota; Metazoa; Chordata; Actinopteri; Salmoniformes; Salmonidae. The record is from RNAcentral.